UUUUAGAAAAAAUACUAAUAUAAAAAGUCACAAAUUGUUAAUGUGAACCUUUCAAGGUUGUUUAUUUUGUGAUGUUUUCAUCAACAUAAAUUUAAAAUUCAAAAGAAAACACUGCUCAGUGAAUAUUGAAGUAAAUCUUCCUCCUUGAUUUUGUAAGGAUACAAGUGACAAUAUUUUCUAUUUAUAGAUGAUUAAUGUUUUAAGCCUAUAUGUGACUUCCUGGUACUUGGGGAAGUUGCCAGAUUUUCUCAAUAAAAUGAUUGGGAUUUAUUCUCUGAUGAAGGACCUGCUACAAAUAAAAUCAAAGUUUUAAAUAAAUCAGUAACAAAUAAGUGGAACAGUUAAAUUCAAGAUCAUACGUGCAGGUACAUUUAGAAAUGGGAUAUAAGCCAGGCACAUUUCAGCUUAGGUAGCACAUGGUCUGACAGACUCAAGUGUUCUUGUGUGGGACAACUGUCAAGAAUAUUUUAGAUUACAGCUGCCCCAUUAAAUCAAGCCCUCAUGAUUGCUGUAGGUCCACUGCUUCCAUGAGCCACAAAUUAAUUCCCUGAUCUUAGAUACUCUUAAGUCUAAAUUCUUGUACAUGGAGUUGCUAUUAGGAGAUAUCUGCAAGGAUUCUGGAGCCAAUUUACUAGGGUCCUAAUCCUAGCUCUGCCAUACCAGUUAUGUGACUUCAGGCUAGCUAUUUAACCAUUUUAUACCUCAAUUUCUCUCUUAAACAAAGACAGUAAUAGUACCCAACUUAUAGAUUUGUUGGAAAGAUUAAAUGAGGUCAUAUAGGCAAAACCUUAAAAUAGUUCCUGGAACAUAAU
Molecule: long non-coding RNA, 812 nt
Filed under: Marmota monax (woodchuck)
Lineage: Eukaryota; Metazoa; Chordata; Mammalia; Rodentia; Sciuridae
Source: RNAcentral